RNAcentral lists this non-coding RNA (25 nucleotides) under Rattus norvegicus (Norway rat). The record is from RNAcentral. Lineage: Eukaryota; Metazoa; Chordata; Mammalia; Rodentia; Muridae.
CUAAACUCCAGAUGUCAGUGAUAAU